AGUGAACGCUGGCGGCAUGCCUAAUACAUGCAAGUCGAACGACAGCACAGUAAGAUCUUUCCUCUACUGGUGGCGAGGGGCGGACGGGUGAGGCAUAGAUCGCAUUCUACUAUUUCUUGGGUGAUUUCGUAGGGAAACUUACGCUAAUAGCGCAUACUAUCUACGGGUGAAAGCAGGGGAACUUCGGACUUUGCGUGACUCAAUGAGCUGAUGCCGCAUUAGCUAGUUGGCGGGGUAAAGGCCCACCGAGGCAACGAUCCGUAGCUGGUCUGAGAGGAUGAUCGGCCACACUGGAACUGAGACACGGUCCAGACUCCUACGGGAGGCAGCAGUGGGGAAUAUUGGACAAUGGGCGCAAGCCUGAUCCAGCCAUGCCGCGUGGGUGAAGAAGGCCUUCGGGUUGUAAAGCCCUUUUGUUGGGAAAGAAAAGCAGCAGAUUAAUACCCCGCUGUUCUGACGGUACCCAAAGAAAAAGCACCGGCUAACUUCGUG
This 492-nucleotide ribosomal RNA is filed under the name uncultured bacterium. RNAcentral describes it as "partial 16S ribosomal RNA". It matches the Rfam family "Bacterial small subunit ribosomal RNA", at positions 29 to 507 of the family's 1533-position model. The record is from RNAcentral.